AUGGCGAGUGGCGAACGGGUGAGUAAUGCAUCGGAACGUGCCCAAUCGUGGGGGAUAACGCAGCGAAAGCUGUGCUAAUACCGCAUACGAUCUCUGGAUGAAAGCGGGGGACUCGCAAGGGCCUCGCGCGAUUGGAGCGGCCGAUAUCAGAUUAGGUUGUUGGUGAGGUAAAAGCUCACCAAGCCGACGAUCUGUAGCUGGUCUGAGAGGACGACCAGCCACACUGGAACUGAGACACGGUCCAGACUCC
RNAcentral lists this ribosomal RNA (250 nucleotides) under uncultured bacterium. RNAcentral describes it as "partial 16S ribosomal RNA". It matches the Rfam family "Bacterial small subunit ribosomal RNA", at positions 88 to 339 of the family's 1533-position model. The record is from RNAcentral.